This 492-nucleotide ribosomal RNA is filed under the name uncultured bacterium. Its description in RNAcentral is "partial 16S ribosomal RNA". It matches the Rfam family "Bacterial small subunit ribosomal RNA", at positions 29 to 507 of the family's 1533-position model. The record is from RNAcentral.
AGUGAACGCUGGCGGUAGGCCUAACACAUGCAAGUCGAACGGCCGCACAGUAAGAUCUUGCUCUUACGGGUGGCGAGUGGCGGACGGGUGAGGAAUACAUCGGAAUCUACUUUUUCGUGGGGGAUAACGUAGGGAAACUUACGCUAAUACCGCAUACGACCUACGGGUGAAAGCAAUAGAUCUUCAGACCUUGCGCGAUUCAAUGAGCCGAUGUCGGAUUAGCUAGUUGGCGAGGUAAAGGCCCACCAAGGCGACGAUGCGUAGCUGGUCUGAGAGGAUGAUCAGCCACACUGGAACUGAGACACGGUCCAGACUCCUACGGGAGGCAGCAGUGGGGAAUAUUGGACAAUGGGCGCAAGCCUGAUCCAGCCAUACCGCGUGGGUGAAGAAGGCCUUCGGGUUGUAAAGCCCUGUUGUUGGGAAAGAAAAGCAGCAGGUUAAUCCCCCGCUGUUCUGACGGUACCCAAAGAAUAAGCACCGGCUAACUUCGUG